AGUGAACGCUGGCGGUAGGCCUAACACAUGCAAGUCGAGCGGCAGCACAGGAGAGCUUGCUCUCUGGGUGGCGAGUGGCGGACGGGUGAGGAAUACAUCGGAAUCUACUCUGUCGUGGGGGAUAACGUAGGGAAACUUACGCUAAUACCGCAUACGACCUACGGGUGAAAGCAGGGGACCUUCGGGCCUUGCGCGAUUGAAUGAGCCGAUGUCGGAUUAGCUAGUUGGCGGGGUAAAGGCCCACCAAGGCGACGAUCCGUAGCUGGUCUGAGAGGAUGGUCAGCCACACUGGAACUGAGACACGGUCCAGCCUCCUACGGGAGGCAGCAGUGGGGAAUAUUGGACAAUGGGCGCAAGCCUGAUCCAGCCAUACCGCGUGGGUGAAGAAGGCCUUCGGGUUGUAAAGCCCUUUUGUUGGGAUAGAAAUCCAGCUGGCUAAUACCCGGUUGGGAUGACGGUACCCAAAGAAUAAGCACCGGCUAACUUCGUGCCAGCAGCCGCCGCGG
This 506-nucleotide ribosomal RNA is filed under the name uncultured bacterium. RNAcentral describes it as "partial 16S ribosomal RNA". It matches the Rfam family "Bacterial small subunit ribosomal RNA", at positions 29 to 523 of the family's 1533-position model. The record is from RNAcentral.